RNAcentral lists this ribosomal RNA (200 nucleotides) under uncultured Glomus. Its description in RNAcentral is "partial small subunit ribosomal RNA". It matches the Rfam family "Eukaryotic small subunit ribosomal RNA", at positions 591 to 797 of the family's 1831-position model. Lineage: Eukaryota; Fungi; Glomeromycota; Glomeromycetes; Glomerales; Glomeraceae. The record is from RNAcentral.
CCAAUAGCGUAUAUUAAAGUUGCUGCAGUUAAAAAGCUCGUAGUUGAAUUUCGGGAUCGAUGUAUCGGUCGUGCCUCGGUACGUACUGGUAUCUUCGGUUUCUCCCUUCUGACGAACCUUGAUGUCAUUAAUUUGGUGUCUUGGGGAAUCAGGACUGUUACUUUGAAAAAAUUAGAGUGUUUAAAGCAGGCUCACGCUUG